AUAUGAAAUGAGAAGAAAGAGAGACAAUCAAUCACAAACACAAGUUUUAUAGUGGUUCGGAGCUAACCCUUGCUCCUACGUCCACUCCCCAAGUCUCACUUGGGAAUUCACUAUAAUUCCCUUGGAUUACAGCCGGUUGUUUUCCAAGCUCACAACCAAACUUGUUGUUUUACGAGCGCAUAACGAACUCGGUCGGUUUUCCCAGGCUCACCGACUAGAACCACCCCCGAUUGUUUUUCCG
This 241-nucleotide long non-coding RNA is filed under the name Phoenix dactylifera (date palm). RNAcentral's name for it is "long non-coding RNA (PDAC_LNC021598)". Lineage: Eukaryota; Viridiplantae; Streptophyta; Magnoliopsida; Arecales; Arecaceae. The record is from RNAcentral.